CAGUCGCCGCGGUAAUACGAAGGGGGCUAGCGUUGCUCGGAAUUACUGGGCGUAAAGGGCGCGUAGGCGGACAGUUUAGUCAGAGGUGAAAGCCCAGGGCUCAACCUUGGAACUGCCUUUGAUACUGGCUGUCUUGAGUUCGGGAGAGGUGUGUGGAACGCCGGGUGUAGAGGUGAAAUUCGUAGAUAUUCGGCAGAACACCAGUGGCGAAGGCGACACACUGGCCCGAUACUGACGCUGAGGCGCGAAAGCGUGGGGAGCAAACAGGAUUAGAUACCCCUGUAGUCCCUGUCUCUUAUAC
This 301-nucleotide ribosomal RNA is filed under the name uncultured bacterium. RNAcentral's name for it is "partial 16S ribosomal RNA". It matches the Rfam family "Bacterial small subunit ribosomal RNA", at positions 509 to 807 of the family's 1533-position model. The record is from RNAcentral.